This 266-nucleotide ribosomal RNA is filed under the name uncultured bacterium. RNAcentral's name for it is "partial 16S ribosomal RNA". It matches the Rfam family "Bacterial small subunit ribosomal RNA", at positions 524 to 787 of the family's 1533-position model. The record is from RNAcentral.
UACGGGGGGAGCAAGCGUUGUUCGGAUUUACUGGGCGUAAAGGGCGCGUAGGCGGCGUGACAAGUCACUUGUGAAAUCUCCCGGGCUCAACCCUGGAAUGCCGGUGGAUACUGUCGGGCUAGAGUCCGGAAGGGGCGAGUGGAAUUCCUGGUGUAGCGGUGAAAUGCGCAGAUAUCAGGAGGAACACCAAUGGCGAAGGCAGCUCGCUGGGACGUGACUGACGCUGAGACGCGAAAGCGUGGGGAGCAAACAGGAUUAGAGUACCC